UACAGAGGUGGCAAGCGUUGUUCGGAAUUACUGGGCGUAAAGCGCGUGUAGGCGGUUAUCCAAGUCGGGUGUGAAAGCCUUGAGCUCAACUCAAGAAAUGCACUCGGUACUGGGUGACUAGAGGACCGGAGAGGAUAGUGGAAUUCCCAGUGUAGUGGUGAAAUACGUAGAGAUUGGGAAGAACACCUAUGGCGAAGGCAGCUCGCUGGGACGUUACUGACGCUGAGACGCGAAAGCGUGGGGAGCAAACAGG
This 253-nucleotide ribosomal RNA is filed under the name uncultured bacterium. RNAcentral describes it as "partial 16S ribosomal RNA". It matches the Rfam family "Bacterial small subunit ribosomal RNA", at positions 524 to 776 of the family's 1533-position model. The record is from RNAcentral.